Molecule: unclassified non-coding RNA, 1126 nt
Filed under: uncultured fungus
Lineage: Eukaryota; Fungi
Description: sequence contains 18S rRNA gene, ITS1, 5.8S rRNA gene, ITS2, 28S rRNA gene
Source: RNAcentral
GGCAGGAGAAGGAGGCGCUGAAGAAGGUCGAGACGAUCUCGAAGCGCCUGCUCAAGGCGUCGAACGGGAACGGAUCGUCCAAGAGCGCGUCGCGCGCGAAGACCGCGUCGAAGUAGUCGAGGAGCGACAGGGGCGAGGCAUCGCCUCGCCCCUGUCCCGUCAGAGCACGAAGGUCGCGAAGUCCACGCCGGUGACGUGCACGGCCACGUUGUGCACCGGCACCGUCCCUAUCGCCCCGUGCAUCGCGCCAUGGUGGGCGUGCCCGUGGACGACGAGGUCCGGUCGAUGCAUGCCGAUCGGGCCUGAGAGCCGGCCCGAGCCGAGAAAAGCCCAGAUCGCCUCGGGCUCCCCGACGAUCGUCUCCGUUGUCGGCGCGUAGUGGAGGAGCACGAUGCGCUUGUGACAGCCCGAGACCGCCUCGAGGCCCUGUUAGAGGGCCUCGACCUCGAGCGUCGUCUCGUGGUAGAUCCGCCGCAGCGCCGGCUCGCCGAAGUCCGGGAUCUCGGCACCCUCGAACCCGCCGACGAAGCCCUUCGUGCCCACGAUGCCGACCUCGAUCUCGCCGAGCUCGAGGAUGACGUGCCCGCGGUCGAGCACGACGAUGUCUCCCGCACGCAACGCUUGCUCGACCUCGGUCGCACAGCCCGAGUGAUGGUCGUGGUUCCCGAGCACCGCGACGAUCGGAACCGAGACACCGGCACACGCGUCCGCGAGAACCGUGGCCUGCUCGGGAAGGCCGUGGGUCGUGAGAUCGCCUGCGAGCAGCACGAGAUCGACGUCCGACUCGAGUGCGGCGAACGCCCGCGCGAGCCGCUUGCGGAGUGGCUCGGCCGCAUGGACGUCGCCCGCCGCCGCGAUCCGAAUCGUCUCGUUCAUACGGCCCAUGGAUACCCGGCGCGGCGUUUCCGCGAACCCGAGCGGGGGGUAUCCACUGCGUCAUGCCGUCCGCUCCUCCAGAGAACUUCCACUCGCUGCUGGCCACGAUGAAGCGAGCCGGGGCCGCGCUGCGCGAAGCGGGCGUCGACCACAUGCUCGGGGGCGGCCUCGCGAUCUGGGCACGUGGCGGGCCACCGACGGAUCACGAUGUCGACUUCUUCCUGCGCGAGGAGGACGCCGAUCGUGCGCU